This 839-nucleotide long non-coding RNA is filed under the name Heterocephalus glaber (naked mole-rat). Its description in RNAcentral is "lncRNA (ENSHGLG00000034614.1)". The record is from RNAcentral. Lineage: Eukaryota; Metazoa; Chordata; Mammalia; Rodentia; Bathyergidae.
CCUAGCUCCUGAAAAUGGGCCACCCCACCCCACCACCUGGCACCCAGGAGCAUCAAGCAUUGAAAGCAGGCGCCAUCUGCGUGUGAAUGGGGAAACCGAGGCCCGAGCACGAACGGGACUUCGGGGUCGCACCGAGAAAACCCAGAAGAUACAAAACAGCACUCCCUUGUCUGGAAUUCACCUAUAAGCCCCGGGAAGGCAGGUCACUCCGCACUCAGCCUGGGGCUCUCAGAGGGGCAGAGAGAACUACAAGGACCGGAAGUUGAGGGGCAGACUUCAGUGCAGAACUCCGGGAGGAGGCCGCCCCGGGUCACCCACAGGCCUCCGCUGCCACCAGCCCAGACGCUGGGUGACUCUGGAGAAGUCUCCUGGGACCACGCAGCAUCAAGGGCACAGGCAGGUCCCAGGAUAUCCUCGACGCCAGGGCCUCAGGCACCUCCAGGUGCUGACCAUUGGCUGCCCCCGGCCAUGCGGGUUGUCUGGGGAGGAGACCGAGGGGACAGAGCCCUCCCACCCCGCAAAGCCACCGCUUCCGCUUCCUGCCUCCGCCUGUGCCAGCGCCUACUGCGCGCAGACCUCUGACCCCGGCUGGUGCCGACCGAGAACCUGACCCUCCGCACGGUGACCCUCCGGUCACCGUCGCAGGCAGGGAGGGCGGAGACCGCGACCCAAGGGUCAGGGCUGGGGCCGCCAAGGCAUGCGCGUGUCCAGCUGUUUGUCCAUCUGCUUCCUGUGUCGCCCCGGCCUCUGGGUCUCUGUCAUUCCGGACGUCCACCCUGUGCUCCGUCCCCACCCGUGCCCCAGCUUCCCUCCCCCACUCCUGCCCCGGUCCCUCCCCC